RNAcentral lists this ribosomal RNA (253 nucleotides) under uncultured bacterium. Its description in RNAcentral is "partial 16S ribosomal RNA". It matches the Rfam family "Bacterial small subunit ribosomal RNA", at positions 524 to 776 of the family's 1533-position model. The record is from RNAcentral.
UACGUAGGGGGCAAGCGUUGUCCGGAUUUAUUGGGCGUAAAGAGCGUGUAGGCGGCCUGGAAGGUCAGCUGUGAAAACUCGAGGCUCAACCUCGAGACGUCGGUUGAAACCACCUGGCUAGAGUCCGGAAGAGGAGUGUGGAAUUCCCGAUGUAGCGGUGAAAUGCGCAGAUAUCGGGAAGAACACCCGUGGCGAAGGCGGCACUCUGGGACGGUACUGACGCUGAGACGCGAAAGCGUGGGGAGCGAACAGG